RNAcentral lists this transfer RNA (63 nucleotides) under Ophiomastix mixta. RNAcentral describes it as "tRNA-Ser". Lineage: Eukaryota; Metazoa; Echinodermata; Ophiuroidea; Amphilepidida; Ophiocomidae. The record is from RNAcentral.
ACCACAAUGAACCUUCCUCGCCUGCUAAGCUCUGGAUGCAUGGUUUAAUUCCAUGGUGUGUUC